AGAGUUUGAUCAUGGCUCAGAACGAACGCUGGCGGCGUGGAUAAGACAUGCAAGUCGGACGAGACUUUUCGUUGUAGCAAUACGAUGGAAAGUUUAGUGGCGAACGGGUGCUUAACACGUGGGCAACCUGCCAGGAAGUGGGGGAUAGCUCGCCGAAAGGCGAAUUAAUACCGCAUGUGAUUAGAGAGGACAUCCUUUCGAAAUUAAAGUCGGGGCAACCUGACGCUUCUUGUGGGGCCCGCGGCCUAUCAGCUAGUUGGUGAGGUAACGGCCCACCAAGGCUUUGACGGGUAGCUGGUCUGAGAGGACGACCAGCCACACUGGGACUGAGACACGGCCCAGACACCUACGGGUGGCAGCAGUCGAGAAUUUUUGACAAUGGGGGAAACCCUGAUCGAGCGACGCCGCGUGGAGGAUGAAGGUCUUCGGAUUGUAAACUCCUGUCAUUGGGGAACAAUGCACAGAUAUUAACUGUAUUUGUGUUGAUAGUACCCGAAGAGGAAGAGACGGCUAACUCUGUGCCAGCAGCCGCGGUAAUACAGAGGUCUCAAGCGUUGUUCGGAUUCAUUGGGCGUAAAGGGUGCGUAGGCGGCGCGGUAAGUCGGGUGUGAAAUCUCGGGGCUUAACUCCGAAACUGCAUUCGAUACUGCCGUGCUUGAGGACUGGAGAGGAGACUGGAAUUUACGGUGUAGCGGUGAAAUGCGUAGAUAUCGUAAGGAAGACCAGUGGCGAAGGCGGGUCUCUGGACAGUUCCUGACGCUGAGGCACGAAGGUCAGGGGAGCAAACGGGAUUAGAUACCCCCGUAGUCC
This 810-nucleotide ribosomal RNA is filed under the name uncultured bacterium. Its description in RNAcentral is "bacterial SSU rRNA". It matches the Rfam family "Bacterial small subunit ribosomal RNA", at positions 8 to 796 of the family's 1533-position model. The record is from RNAcentral.